UCUCUGUGUGCCUAGGUAUCCACCGUGCGCCCUUCAUAACUUAACCUAUUCGGCUUCGAUAAGCGUCGAAUCUCUUCAUCACCGAUUGUCAUCAUCAUCCUCACGUACAUUAGAGUACGCUCCGGUGAUUCGCCAAUCGCUUCCUCGACCUUCUCGCUUCUCGUUCACCUUCAAGUUUUAAAGAACUUUUACUACUUCAAUGAAUGUUUUGUUACGUUAUCUAGUUUUCAAGGAACGAAAUUGAAAGCACAAAAAGCACUCUCAAAACUGACCACAAUACAAAGCGUCUUUUUAUGAAGUUCGUAGAACUUCAGUUUCCUUAGAAAGGAGGUGAUCCAGCCGCACCUUCCGAUACGGCUACCUUGUUACGACUUCACCCCAAUCAUCUGUCCCACCUUAGGCGGCUGGCUCCUUACGGUUACCCCACCGACUUCGGGUGUUACAAACUCUCGUGGUGUGACGGGCGGUGAGGGCAAGGCCCGGGAACGUAUUACCGCGGCUGCUGGAAUAAGG
RNAcentral lists this ribosomal RNA (513 nucleotides) under uncultured organism. RNAcentral describes it as "eukaryotic LSU rRNA". The record is from RNAcentral.